Long non-coding RNA from Gallus gallus (chicken), 494 nucleotides. NCBI's taxonomy places the organism in Eukaryota, Metazoa, Chordata, Aves, Galliformes, Phasianidae. The record is from Ensembl.
CUUAUUUAUUGUUUUUUGUUUUGUUUUGUUUCUUAGCAGUGUGAACAGCUUUAAAAUUAGCCUCACUUUAUCUUUUCCAGUUGAAUGUAAGUUGGAAUGUAAGGAAUACUUCAUGACACAAGAUCAGCUUCCUUCUUUCAGUCGGGUGGUGGAGACAAGGAACGAUGCAAACUCAUAGCUGCAGAGCUUUGUGCUGCCAGAAUGCUCUGCUGCUGGGAGACUAUCGUGCGAUAGAGUGGAGCAACUAUUAACUCUAAUUGGAUGAACAUUGCUACAAAAUUGGAAGCUAUCUCUGGCCUGUAUCUCCAGCUUGUUCUGUUAUGACCUGCAUUGCUCACGGCACAUUUGACACGUUUGCAUAUGCUUUGUGCUGCACGCAGAAACUGUGAGUAAGUGGUGGUCUCUGUAAGCACAGCUCUGCCAUGUGCCCUCUUGAAGAGAGCUGAACUGGAGGAACCUGGAGGACAAGAGGGUGAGAGGUGAGAAGAGCAAGG